RNAcentral lists this ribosomal RNA (292 nucleotides) under uncultured bacterium. Its description in RNAcentral is "partial 16S ribosomal RNA". It matches the Rfam family "Bacterial small subunit ribosomal RNA", at positions 505 to 796 of the family's 1533-position model. The record is from RNAcentral.
GUGCAAGCAGCCGCGGUAAGACAGAGGGUGCAAACGUUGCUCGGAAUCACUGGGCGUAAAGGGCGUGUAGGCGGGUAGAUAAGUCGGGCGUGAAAUCCCUAGGCUCAACCUAGGAACUGCACUCGAAACUGUUUAUCUUGAGUGCCGGAGAGGAAAGCGGAAUUCCUGGUGUAGAGGUGAAAUUCGUAGAUAUCAGGAGGAACACCAGUGGCGAAGGCGGCUCUCUGGGCCUUUCCUGACGCUGAGACGCGAAAGCGUGGGGAGCGAACAGGAUUAGAUACCCUGGUAGUCC